UUUACUCAGAACCUCAAUCACCAACAACUGAGAUCUUUUUUUCUUACAUUUAUGCUCAAAGAUAUAGGGUUCAUCACAGUAAUAGCAUAGACCCUUCUCUCUUUUUUCUUGUAGUUCUGUUGCUGAAAUAGUUUUGUGUGAUUUAGGUCCAAUCUAGACUUUCUGUAAGGGUAUUGCAGGAGUAUUAGUAUUAGGGAGAUUUUGGAUUCUUAUGGAUAUA
This 220-nucleotide long non-coding RNA is filed under the name Elaeis guineensis (African oil palm). Its description in RNAcentral is "long non-coding RNA (EGUI_LNC055996)". Lineage: Eukaryota; Viridiplantae; Streptophyta; Magnoliopsida; Arecales; Arecaceae. The record is from RNAcentral.